CUGCUCAGUAACACGUGGAUAACCUACCCUUAGGACCGGAAUAACCCCGGGAAACUGGGGAUAAUACCGGAUAAGCCAUAGACGCUGGAAUGCCCUAUGGUUCAAAGCUCCGGCGCCUAAGGAUGGAUCUGCGGUCUAUCAGGUUGUAGUGGGUGUAACGUACCUACUAGCCGACGACGGAUACGGGUUGUGAGAGCAAGAGCCCGGAGAUGGAUUCUGAGACACGAAUCCAGGCCCUACGGGGUGCAGCAGGCGCGAACACUUUACAAUGCGGGAAACCGCGAUAAGGGAACCCCGAGUGCCAGCAUCAAAUGUUGGCUGUCCGGAUGAUUAAAAAUCAUUUGUUAGCAAGGGCCGGGCAAGACCGGUGCCAGCCGCCGCGGUAACACCGGCGGCCCGAGUGGUAGCCGUUUUUAUUGGGUCUAAAGGGUCCGUAGCCGGCCUGAUAAGUCCUUUGGGAAAUCUGGCAGCUUAACUGUCAGGCUUCUAAGGGAUACUGUCAGGCUUGGGACCGGAAGAGGUAAGGGGUACUCCAGGGGUAGGAGUGAAAUCUUGUAAUCCCUGGGGGACCAUCUGUGGCGAAGGCGCCUUACCAGAACGGGUCCGACGGUGAGGGACGAAAGCUAGGGGAGCAAACCGGAUUAGAUACCCGGGUAGUCCUAGCUAUAAACGAUGCUCGCUAGGUGUCAAACACGGUGCGACCGUGUUUGGUGCCGCAGGGAAGCCGUUAAGCGAGCCACCUGGGAAGUACGGUCGCAAGGCUGAAACUUAAAGGAAUUGGCGGGGGAGCACUACAACGGGUGGAGCCUGCGGUUU
Molecule: ribosomal RNA, 816 nt
Filed under: uncultured archaeon
Lineage: Archaea
Description: bacterial SSU rRNA
Rfam family: Archaeal small subunit ribosomal RNA
Source: RNAcentral